Molecule: ribosomal RNA, 412 nt
Filed under: uncultured bacterium
Lineage: Bacteria
Description: bacterial SSU rRNA
Rfam family: Bacterial small subunit ribosomal RNA
Source: RNAcentral
GUGUCAGCAGCCGCGGUAAUACGAAGGGGGCUAGCGUUGUUCGGAAUUACUGGGCGUAAAGGGCGCGUAGGCGGCCGUUUAAGUUAGGUGUGAAAGUCCUGGGCUCAACCUGGGGACUGCACUUAAUACUGGAUGGCUUGAAUUCGGGAGAGGAUAGCGGAAUUCCCAGUGUAGAGGUGAAAUUCGUAGAUAUUGGGAAGAACACCGGUGGCGAAGGCGGCUAUCUGGACCGACAUUGACGCUGAGGCGCGAAAGCGUGGGGAGCAAACAGGAUUAGAUACCCUGGUAGUCCACGCCGUAAACGAUGAGUGCUAGACGUUGGGAAGCUUAGCUUUUCAGUGUCGCAGCUAACGCAUUAAGCACUCCGCCUGGGGAGUACGGUCGCAAGAUUAAAACUCAAAGGAAUUGACGG